This 253-nucleotide ribosomal RNA is filed under the name uncultured bacterium. RNAcentral describes it as "partial 16S ribosomal RNA". It matches the Rfam family "Bacterial small subunit ribosomal RNA", at positions 524 to 776 of the family's 1533-position model. The record is from RNAcentral.
UACGGAGGGUGCGAGCGUUGUCCGGAAUCACUGGGCGUAAAGGGCGCGUAGGCGGCUUGGUAAGUAGGGGGUGAAAUCCUGCGGCUUAACCGCAGGGCUGCCUUCUAAACUGCCAGGCUUGAGCACAGUAGAGGCAGGUGGAAUUCCCGGUGUAGCGGUGGAAUGCGUAGAGAUCGGGAAGAACACCGGUGGCGAAGGCGGGUCUCUGGGCCGUAACUGACGCUGAGGAGCGAAAGCAUGGGGAGCGAACAGG